This 630-nucleotide ribosomal RNA is filed under the name uncultured Actinomycetes bacterium. Its description in RNAcentral is "bacterial SSU rRNA". It matches the Rfam family "Bacterial small subunit ribosomal RNA", at positions 56 to 673 of the family's 1533-position model. The record is from RNAcentral. Lineage: Bacteria; Bacillati; Actinomycetota; Actinomycetes.
UGCAAGUCGAGCGAGAACCAGGCCUUCGGGCCUGGGGAAAGCGGCGAACGGGUGAGUAACACGUGGGCAACCCACCCUUGGUACCGGGAUAGCCCGGGGAAACCCGGAUUAAUACCGGAUGGCCCAGCAGCCCUUCGGGGCGGCUGGAAAAGGUAGCUUCGGCCUCCGACCAAGGACGGGCCCGCGGCGGAUUAGCUUGUUGGUGAGGUAACGGCUCACCAAGGCGACGAUCCGUAGCUGGUCUGAGAGGACGAUCAGCCACACUGGGACUGAGACACGGCCCAGACUCCUACGGGAGGCAGCAGUGGGGAAUCUUGCGCAAUGGGCGAAAGCCUGACGCAGCGACGCCGCGUGGGGGAAGAAGGCUUUCGGGUUGUAAACCCCUUUCAGGAGGGACGAAGCCACUCGGGUGAAUAGCCCAGAGGGUGACGGUACCUCCAGAAGAAGCCCCGGCUAACUACGUGCCAGCAGCCGCGGUAAUACGUAGGGGGCAAGCGUUGUCCGGAUUUAUUGGGCGUAAAGAGCGUGUAGGCGGCCAUGUAGGUCCGUUGUGAAAACUCGAGGCUCAACCUCGAGACGCCGAUGGAAACCAUGUGGCUAGAGUCCGGAAGAGGAGAGUGGAAUUCCUGG